AAAUCCGCUCUUUAAUCUGAAGACGUGAUGUGGACUGAAAAUAAGUAGGGAAGCACGUGAGCUGACUGUCAAGAAAAGCCGCUAUUGUUUGCAGGAUACCCGUACCGUAAACCGACACAGGUGGAUGAGGAGAGAAUCCUAAGGCCGACGGGAGAAGCAUUGUUAAGGAACUCGGCAAAAUGACUCCGUAACUUCGGGAGAAGGAGUGCCAGUAAGAUGGCCGCAGAGAAUUGGCCCAAGCAACUGUUUAGCAAAAACACAGGUCUAUGCAAAACCGAAAGGUGAGGUAUAUGGGCUGACGCCUGCCCGGUGCUGGAAGGUUAAGGGGAGAGGUUAGCGCAAGCGAAGCUUUGAACUUAAGCCCCAGUAAACGGCGGCCAUAACAAUAACGGUCCUAAGGUAGCGAAAUUCCUUGUCGGGUAAGUUCCGACCCGCACGAAAGGCGUAAUGAUUUGGGCACUGUCUCAACAAUGCACCCGGUGAAAUUGAAAUACCAGUGAAGAUGCUGGUUACCUGCGCCAGGACGGAAAGACCCCAUGGAGCUUUACUCCAGCUUGAUACUGGGAUUCGGUAUUGCAUGUACAGGAUAGGUGGGAGGCUAGGAAAUGGUAACGCCAGUUGCCGUGGAGCCAAUGUUGGGAUACCACCCUUGCAGUACUGGGUUUCUAACCAGCAGCCGUGAUCCGGCUGGGGGACAAUGUCAGGUGGGGAGUUUGACUGGGGCGGUCGCCUCCGAAAGGGUAUCGGGGGCGCUCAAAGGUUCCCUCAGAAUGGUUGGAAACCAUUCGAAGAGUGCAAAGGCAGAAGGGAGCUUGACUGCGACACCGACGGGUGGAGCAGGUACGAAAGUAGGACUUAGUGAUCCGGUGGUAUAAAGUGGGAUUGCCAUCGCUCAACGGAUAAAAACUACCCUGGGAUAACAGGCUUAUCACUCCCAAGAGUUCACAUCGACGGAGUGGUUUGGCACCUCGAUGUCGGCUCAUCGCAUCCUGGGGCUGAAGUAGGUCCCAAGGGUUGGGCUGUUCGCCCAUUAAAGCGGUACGCGAGCUGGGUUCAGAACGUCGUGAGACAGUUCGGUCCCUAUCCGGCGUGGGCGUAAGAUAUUUGAGGGGAGCUGUCCUUAGUACGAGAGGACCGGGAUGGACUGGCCGCUGGUGUAUCUGUUGUCUUACCAAAGGCAUAGCAGAGUAGCCAAGCCGGGAAGGGAUAAACGCUGAAGGCAUCUAAGCGUGAAGCCCCCCUCAAGAUGAGAUAUCUCAUAACGUCAAGUUAGUAAGACCCCUUGAAGACGACGAGGUAGAUAGGGCAGAGGUGGAAGUGUGGUAACACAUGGAGCUGACUGUUACUAAUAGGUCGAGGGCAUAACCG
This 1368-nucleotide ribosomal RNA is filed under the name metagenome. Its description in RNAcentral is "bacterial LSU rRNA". It matches the Rfam family "Bacterial large subunit ribosomal RNA", at positions 1538 to 2925 of the family's 2925-position model. The record is from RNAcentral.